GAUGAGAGACAGGGGCGUCCGUUGCAAGACGGGCUGAGAAGUACCCUUCGAACCUGAACCGGAUAAUGCUGGCGGAGGGAGUCGCUCGGAGCCUGCU
Rhizobium yanglingense is the source of this 97-nucleotide non-coding RNA. NCBI's taxonomy places the organism in Bacteria, Pseudomonadati, Pseudomonadota, Alphaproteobacteria, Hyphomicrobiales, Rhizobiaceae. The record is from Rfam.